Molecule: transfer RNA, 68 nt
Filed under: Eledone cirrhosa (curled octopus)
Lineage: Eukaryota; Metazoa; Mollusca; Cephalopoda; Octopoda; Eledonidae
Description: tRNA-Thr
Rfam family: tRNA
About the family: Transfer RNA (tRNA) molecules are approximately 80 nucleotides in length.
Source: RNAcentral
GUUAUAGUAGUUUAAAAUAUAAAACUAUGGUCUUGUAAACCAAAAUUAAAUAUAAUAUUUCUAUAACU